This 427-nucleotide ribosomal RNA is filed under the name uncultured bacterium. RNAcentral describes it as "partial 16S ribosomal RNA". It matches the Rfam family "Bacterial small subunit ribosomal RNA", at positions 355 to 774 of the family's 1533-position model. The record is from RNAcentral.
UGGGGAAUAUUGCACAAUGGGCGCAAGCCUGAUGCAGCCAUGCCGCGUGUAUGAAGAAGGCCUUCGGGUUGUAAAGUACUUUCAGCGGGGAGGAAGGCGAUAAGGUUAAUAACCUUGUCGAUUGACGUUACCCGCAGAAGAAGCACCGGCUAACUCCGUGCCAGCAGCCGCGGUAAUACGGAGGGUGCAAGCGUUAAUCGGAAUUACUGGGCGUAAAGCGCACGCAGGCGGUCUGUCAAGUCGGAUGUGAAAUCCCCGGGCUCAACCUGGGAACUGCAUUCGAAACUGGCAGGCUAGAGUCUUGUAGAGGGGGGUAGAAUUCCAGGUGUAGCGGUGAAAUGCGUAGAGAUCUGGAGGAAUAUCGGUGGCGAAGGCGGCCCCCUGGACAAAGACUGACGCUCAGGUGCGAAAGCGUGGGGAGCAAACA